This 425-nucleotide ribosomal RNA is filed under the name uncultured bacterium. RNAcentral's name for it is "partial 16S ribosomal RNA". It matches the Rfam family "Bacterial small subunit ribosomal RNA", at positions 354 to 796 of the family's 1533-position model. The record is from RNAcentral.
GUGGGGAAUAUUGGACAAUGGGCGCAAGCCUGAUCCAGCCAUGCCGCGUGAGUGAUGAAGGCCCUAGGGUUGUAAAGCUCUUUCACCGGUGAAGAUAAUGACGGUAACCGGAGAAGAAGCCCCGGCUAACUUCGUGCCAGCAGCCGCGGUAAUACGAAGGGGGCUAGCGUUGUUCGGAAUUACUGGGCGUAAAGCGCACGUAGGCGGACAUUUAAGGCAGGGGUGAAAUCCCGGGGCUCAACCCCGGAACUGCCUUUGAUACUGGGUGUCUGGAGUAUGGAAGAGGUAAGUGGAAUUCCGAGUGUAGAGGUGAAAUUCGUAGAUAUUCGGAGGAACACCAGUGGCGAAGGCGGCUUACUGGUCCAUUACUGACGCUGAGGUGCGAAAGCGUGGGGAGCAAACAGGAUUAGAAACCCGGGUAGUCC